RNAcentral lists this non-coding RNA (93 nucleotides) under unclassified sequences. Its description in RNAcentral is "SAM-I-IV sequence". It matches the Rfam family "SAM-I/IV (S-adenosyl methionine) riboswitch aptamer". Rfam says of the family: It is found upstream of a number of genes which code for proteins involved in methionine or cysteine biosynthesis. It has been found mostly in the order Actinomycetales. The record is from Rfam by way of RNAcentral.
GUACUGCAUUAAGAACGUUAUAGACGUACCAACCGACAAACUCAUUGCACGGUGGUUUUGAAUGCGGGUGUCUCUACCAAAAUAAUGAGAAAU